CCAACGGCUCUUUUCAGAGCCACCACAACUUCAAGAAAGAACCAAU
Non-coding RNA from Strongylocentrotus purpuratus (purple sea urchin), 46 nucleotides. Lineage: Eukaryota; Metazoa; Echinodermata; Echinoidea; Camarodonta; Strongylocentrotidae. The record is from Rfam.